AUACGGAGGGUGCAAGCGUUAAUCGGAAUUACUGGGCGUAAAGCGCGCGUAGGCGGAUAUUUAAGUCUCAUGUGAAAGCCCUGGGCUCAACCUGGGAACUGCAUGGGAUACUGGGUAUCUAGAAUACAGUAGAGGGUAGUGGAAUUUCAGGUGUAGCGGUGAAAUGCGUAGAGAUCUGAAGGAACAUCAGUGGCGAAGGCGACUACCUGGACUGAUAGUGACGCUGAGGUGCGAAAGCGUGGGGAGCAAACGGGAUUAGAAACCCUAGUAGUCC
This 274-nucleotide ribosomal RNA is filed under the name uncultured bacterium. RNAcentral describes it as "partial 16S ribosomal RNA". It matches the Rfam family "Bacterial small subunit ribosomal RNA", at positions 523 to 796 of the family's 1533-position model. The record is from RNAcentral.